AAACGUUCCGUAUCAUAAAAUGGCAAAGAAUUCAACUGUGUUUUAGAUUUCUUCAAGGAAAGGGUAUCUAUAAACUAAAUGGGCUGUGGCAAGAAAUGAUUUAUCGAUGGGACAUUUGUAGAGUAACGAACGGAAGUCACAUCGAACAUUUGUGAUAAAGAAUCUGUAAAUACCCUGUAUUAAGCUGGCCAAACUGUGGUAAGUAAACCCGAGUUUCGCAACUCUGCCCAGUAAUAUUUGACAGUCCUAGUAGCAUUUGCCAAAUAAAAAUAUAUGACUUUUCAAGC
Long non-coding RNA from Stegodyphus dumicola, 287 nucleotides. RefSeq lists it as uncharacterized. NCBI's taxonomy places the organism in Eukaryota, Metazoa, Arthropoda, Arachnida, Araneae, Eresidae. The record is from RefSeq and is a predicted model, not a curated record.